This 81-nucleotide transfer RNA is filed under the name Bos taurus (domestic cattle). It matches the Rfam family "tRNA". From Rfam's summary of the family: Transfer RNA (tRNA) molecules are approximately 80 nucleotides in length. The record is from Rfam by way of RNAcentral. RNAcentral also lists the same sequence under 1 other name. Lineage: Eukaryota; Metazoa; Chordata; Mammalia; Artiodactyla; Bovidae.
UCCCCAAUGGCUCAGUGGAUAAAGAAUCUGCCUGCAAUGCAGGAGGCACAGGAGACUCAGGUUCGAUCCCUGGCUUGGGAA